AGCGAAAGUGAUAAGUAUCCCACCUGGGGAGUACGUUCGCAAGAAUGAAACUCAAAGGAAUUGACGGGGGCCCGCACAAGCGGUGGAGCAUGUGGUUUAAUUCGAUGAUACGCGAAGAACCUUACCAGGGCUUAAAUGCAGAAUGACAGGGGCAGAGACGCCUUUUUCUUCGGACAUUUUGCAAGGUGCUGCAUGGUUGUCGUCAGCUCGUGCCGUGAGGUGUCAGGUUAAGUCCUAUAACGAGCGCAACCCUUGCCGUCAGUUGCCAACAGGUAAAGCUGGGGACUCUGGCGGGACUGCCGGUGCAAACCGUGAGGAAGGUGGGGACGACGUCAAAUCAUCACGGCCCUUACGUCCUGGGCUACACACGUGCUACAAUGGCCGGUACAGAGAGCAGCCAUCGGGUAACCGAGAGCGAAUCUACAAAACCGGUCACAGUUCGGAUCGGGGUCUGCAACCCGACCCCGUGAAGCUGGAAUCGCUAGUAAUCGGAUAUCAGCCAUGAUCCGGUGAAUACGUUCCCGGGCCUUGUACACACCGCCCGUCAAGCCAUGGAAGCCGGGGGUACCUGAAGUCCGUCACCGCAAGGAGCGGCCUAGGGUAAGACCGGUAACUAGGGCUAAGUCGUAACAAGGUAGC
Molecule: ribosomal RNA, 639 nt
Filed under: uncultured Bacteroidota bacterium
Lineage: Bacteria; Pseudomonadati; Bacteroidota
Description: bacterial SSU rRNA
Rfam family: Bacterial small subunit ribosomal RNA
Source: RNAcentral